UCCUAAAAUACAGCACUUUACUGCUACUGUUCAAGGUAUCUAAAGUAACAGUAUCAUGCAGUACUUUUUUAAUUUGGGGAGGAGCCAUUCACCCAAACUGCACAUGUGAAGCUGGAUCCGUUCUUUUCUUCAUCUAUCUCCAUCUUAUUAAUUAUUUGGUGACGACAGAAGGAUGAAGCAGCUAGCUAGAAUAUCAAAGGCUCUUCAUAGGAGUAAACUCAAAGAGGCACAAGGCUGGACAGAGCAAAAUCAUUUCAAGGAAAACUGCCAAAGUCACCAGUUGGCAACAGUCAAUCCCCAUGCAUCCUCUCUGCUGAGGAGUCUUGUGGACUUUGAGUAGGACUU
This is a long non-coding RNA of Plectropomus leopardus (leopard coralgrouper), 345 nucleotides long. RefSeq lists it as uncharacterized. Lineage: Eukaryota; Metazoa; Chordata; Actinopteri; Perciformes; Serranidae. The record is from RefSeq and is a predicted model, not a curated record.